RNAcentral lists this ribosomal RNA (461 nucleotides) under Klebsiella sp. DNRA6. Its description in RNAcentral is "partial 23S ribosomal RNA". It matches the Rfam family "Bacterial large subunit ribosomal RNA", at positions 1414 to 1858 of the family's 2925-position model. The record is from RNAcentral. Lineage: Bacteria; Pseudomonadati; Pseudomonadota; Gammaproteobacteria; Enterobacterales; Enterobacteriaceae.
GUCGAUGGGAAACAGGUUAAUAUUCCUGUACUUGGUGUUACUGCGAAGGGGGGACGGAGAAGGCUAUGUUGGCCGGGCGACGGUUGUCCCGGUUUAAGCGUGUAGGUGUGUGUUCCAGGUAAAUCCGGUUCACUUUAACACUGAGGCGUGAUGACGAGGCACUACGGUGCUGAAGUGACAAAUGCCCUGCUUCCAGGAAAAGCCUCUAAGCAUCAGGUAACAUCAAAUCGUACCCCAAACCGACACAGGUGGUCAGGUAGAGAAUACCAAGGCGCUUGAGAGAACUCGGGUGAAGGAACUAGGCAAAAUGGUGCCGUAACUUCGGGAGAAGGCACGCUGAUAUGUAGGUGAAGUGAUUUACUCAUGGAGCUGAAAUCAGUCGAAGAUACCAGCUGGCUGCAACUGUUUAUUAAAAACACAGCACUGUGCAAACACGAAAGUGGACGUAUACGGUGUGACGC